AGUGAACGCUGGCGGUAGGCCUAACACAUGCAAGUCGAACGGCAGCACAGUAAGAGCUUGCUCUUACGGGUGGCGAGUGGCGGACGGGUGAGGAAUACAUCGGAAUCUACUUUUUCGUGGGGGAUAACGUAGGGAAACUUACGCUAAUACCGCAUACGACCUACGGGUGAAAGCAGGGGAUCUUCGGACCUUGCGCGAUUGAAUGAGCCGAUGUCGGAUUAGCUAGUUGGCGGGGUAAAGGCCCACCAAGGCGACGAUCCGUAGCUGGUCUGAGAGGAUGGUCCGCCCAACGUGAAACUAGAACACGGCCCGAACUCCUAGGGAGGGCGCAGGUGGGAAUAUUUGGAAAAGGGGGGAAACCCUAUCCCAGCCUACCGGGGUGGGUAAAGAAGCCUUUCGGGUUGUAAAGCCUUUUGUUUGGAAAGAAAAGCAGCAGGUUAAUACCCCGCUGUUCUGACGGUACCCAAAGAAUAAGCACCGGCUAACUUCGUG
RNAcentral lists this ribosomal RNA (492 nucleotides) under uncultured bacterium. RNAcentral's name for it is "partial 16S ribosomal RNA". It matches the Rfam family "Bacterial small subunit ribosomal RNA", at positions 29 to 507 of the family's 1533-position model. The record is from RNAcentral.